GUAGUCCCAGCUGUAAACGAUGCAGACUCGGUGAUGAAUUGGCUUCAUGCCAAUUCAGUGCCGCAGGGAAGCCGUUAAGUUUGCCGCCUGGGGAGUACGGUCGCAAGACUGAAACUUAAAGGAAUUGGCGGGGCCCGCACAAGCAGCGGAGCGUGUGGUUUAAUUCGACGCAACGCGCAGAACCUUACCCAGGUUUGACAUGCCCCUGCACGCCGCUGAAAGGCGGUCGCCUUCGAGGGUGGGGCACAGAUGCUGCACGGCUGUCGUCAGCUCGUGUCGUGAGAUGUUGGGUUAAG
RNAcentral lists this ribosomal RNA (296 nucleotides) under uncultured bacterium. RNAcentral describes it as "partial 16S ribosomal RNA". It matches the Rfam family "Bacterial small subunit ribosomal RNA", at positions 790 to 1084 of the family's 1533-position model. The record is from RNAcentral.